AGUGGUUUAGACAGAAGUGGACUGGACAGUGCAAUCGAUUCGGUGAAUCUGGUCGGUCUAGUGGAAAUCUCAGCCCAUGUCACCAAAUGGCAGCGCGGUUAACUUGGCUGAUUGAAUGUCAUUCGUAGGUGCAGUCACGUAGCAUCCUACCUAUAGACUUUGGGCCCAAACAAAUGGAGGAAUUAUGGUGACAACGACCCGACGACUUCAUUAGACGCGGCCAUCCAUCAGCCGGUGGAAAGGGUUAUUUGACUGCUGGAAAGGAUUUCCUACAAUUUCCACCACUCGGAUAAAUCAUGCGCCCAAUCCCUCGAAGUUCACUCGUGUUAUACUAACACCAUUUUUGAAAAGGACUAUUUUUUAUCCUUUGUGGUACGUGUAUGCCAUCAUCGGACUACAACUUCUAAUGCCAUUUUCUUUGUGUAGACUGUCGAAUAAAUCAGAAAGUUUGAGCAGUGCCGCUCGUAAAACGGA
Long non-coding RNA from Drosophila erecta, 474 nucleotides. RefSeq lists it as uncharacterized. Lineage: Eukaryota; Metazoa; Arthropoda; Insecta; Diptera; Drosophilidae. The record is from RefSeq and is a predicted model, not a curated record. The transcript has 3 exons.